GACGAACGGUGCAAGCGUUGUUCGGAAUCACUGGGCUUAAAGGGCGCGUAGGCGGCCACGCCAGUCUGGGGUGAAAUCUUUCGGCUCAACCGGAAAAUUGCCUGGGAUACUGCGUGGCUCGAGGGAGGUAGGGGCGGUCGGAACUUCCAGUGGAGCGGUGAAAUGCGUUGAUAUUGGAAGGAACGCCGGUGGCGAAAGCGGACCGCUGGAUCUCAUCUGACGCUGAGGCGUGAAAGCUAGGGUAGCGAACGGG
Molecule: ribosomal RNA, 253 nt
Filed under: uncultured bacterium
Lineage: Bacteria
Description: partial 16S ribosomal RNA
Rfam family: Bacterial small subunit ribosomal RNA
Source: RNAcentral